RNAcentral lists this ribosomal RNA (468 nucleotides) under uncultured bacterium. RNAcentral's name for it is "partial 16S ribosomal RNA". It matches the Rfam family "Bacterial small subunit ribosomal RNA", at positions 28 to 507 of the family's 1533-position model. The record is from RNAcentral.
GACGAACGCUGGCGGCGUGCUUAACACAUGCAAGUCGAACGGAAAGGCCCUGCUUUUGUGGGGUGCUCGAGUGGCGAACGGGUGAGUAACACGUGAGUAACCUGCCCUUGACUUUGGGAUAACUUCAGGAAACUGGGGCUAAUACCGGAUAGGAGCUCCUGCUGCAUGGUGGGGGUUGGAAAGUUUCGGCGGUUGGGGAUGGACUCGCGGAUUAUCAGCUUGUUGGUGGGGUAGUGGCUUAACAAGGCUUUGACGGGUAGCCGGCCUGAGAGGGUGACCGGCCACAUUGGGACUGAGAUAGGGACCAGACUCCUACGGGAGGCAACAGUGGGGAAUAUUGCACAAUGGGCGGACGCCUGAUGCAGCAGCGCCGCGUGCGGGAUGACGGCCUUCGGGUUGUAAACCGAUUUCGCCUGUGACGAAGCGUGAGUGACGGUAAUGGGUAAAGAAGCACCGGCUAACUACGUG